This 234-nucleotide ribosomal RNA is filed under the name uncultured Glomus. Its description in RNAcentral is "partial 18S ribosomal RNA". It matches the Rfam family "Eukaryotic small subunit ribosomal RNA", at positions 548 to 785 of the family's 1831-position model. The record is from RNAcentral. Lineage: Eukaryota; Fungi; Glomeromycota; Glomeromycetes; Glomerales; Glomeraceae.
UUGGAGGGCAAGUCUGGUGCCAGCAGCCGCGGUAAUUCCAGCUCCAAUAGCGUAUAUUAAAGUUGUUGCAGUUAAAAAGCUCGUAGUUGAAUUUCGGGAUCAAUAUAUCGGUCGUGCCUUCGGUACGUACUGGUAUCAUUGGUUUCUCCUUCCUGACGAACCAUGAUGUCAUUAAUUUGGUGUUAUGGGGAGUUAGGUCUUUACUUUGAAAAAAUUAGAGUGUUUAAAGCAGGC